CCCUAUUAAUUAGUUUCUACAAAUCCAAAGCAAUAAAACUACACAUUUUGCCAAUAUUCAUGCUUGAAUCCAAAUUUAAACUCAAACAAUAACCUAAAAAAAAACUAAAAAAGCCAUUCACCUUCAUCCUUACCGAACAGACCCGAGUAUCCCUAGGCCUUUUACAUUCAAGCAAAACUAAUUAGAGUUCUAUAAAUAAAUGACAGUAUUCAAUGGCAUAUUCCAUUACACAUGAAGAACCUAAUUAUGAAAGUAUAGGACAGAGUAAUCUAUGAAAGUAAAGCUAGAUUAUGGACCACAAUUUAGUGUUAAGCUAAAAAAAUAACUUCCAUGUCCAUUUCAACUCCAAUUUGAACAUCAAUUAUACAAGUUUAAGAACCAGUACCUGGAAAUUAAACAAGAAACAAAGAAAUGUGAAGUCAAGGACCAGAAACAGAAUAUCAGCAACAAGACAACAACAAUUUAACACCAGCAAGGAAGCAGCCUAGCCAAAUCAAGUUCAAAAAUAACAGGAGGCUAAAUCACUCGAACGAAUAACAGAACAAACUUCAGAACUAAGCCUCCAAACCCAAUUUCGAAUCGUUUUUGAACUCUAUUAACCAAGUAAACUCUUCAGGGAGCAAAAACUUAAGAAAACUACAAAGAUUGGCAAUGGAACAAUAAACUUUUUUUGCCUUUUUUUAUUUUUAUUUUUUAGUUCUUAAAUAUCUUUCUUUGUUCUCUCUUUUUGACUCUCUCUUCUCCCUCCCUGUCCAGCUAUAUUCUUCAACCUUUUAUAGACAUUCAAUUAGUGCAAUCCCCAUUACGAGUAUCCCUUCCCUUAUUUUAAUUAUCCCCACUAACUUAGUUUCUCUAAAUUAAUCAAUUAUUGUCACUCCCAUUAUCAAUUUCAACUUUUCAUUUCUUAAUUGUCCACUUAAAUUAGUUAGUGUAAUUCUAACCCUACCACUAUUGAGAAGCUUCUCAAUUAGGUGAAUAUCAUUUUUAUUAAACAAUUCUUAAGCUAAUUCAACUAAAUGGGUUCAGGUCUAUAUAAUCGAAGGGCCAAAAGAUAUUGUUCAACACACUUCGUCCUAAUUUCUCGCCUCAGUUUUAAGAAAGGUGGUGGAAUCAUACACUUGGAGACAAAAAAACAAGCUGCAAGGUUAACGAAGGAACCAUGUGCUAGAAAUGUCAAAGAUUACAAAGCUCUUUUAUGUAAAAGGCAUAUCAACUUAUACAAUGGCAAGUUGGCAACCACGCCUAUAGACAAUAGUGACAUUUUUUGAGAUUACAGUUUAGCAUACUUUAUUGUAAGAGCAUCUAGGAAAAGUAAUCAGAGGCACACAACCACGAACACAUUUAAGCAACUAUAGAUAUUUUCAAAAUGGGUAAGGUAACCACAAACUCUAAAUAUUUACAAAACCAUUAGAACAUUACCAUCCAAACAAAACAUUAAGAAAAAUGGGAGAUAGACCUGAAGAAACUUUCAGAUUUAUUGAGUUGCGGCAAUUACACGGACUGAAAUGAAGCAACAACUAUAGCCGGACAUCCACACAGAUGCGAACGAAAUCAGCAAAAUCGAACCUGAACUUCGGAUUUGAACCUAUCUUCCAAACUCAAGCAAAACAUCAGUGGCAAAUUCAAACAGGAACCGCAAGCGAAAUCGAGACCUCGAACUGGAAACCUUGUCGAAUUCGAAACAGGCUGCAUUCAACGGCGACCUCCACAUAAUUCAAACUCAGAAAUGGCUCCAACUUAGAUUAAUUCUAUGGUUUUUUUUAAUCGAAAACAGACGGACAAGAGAAACCAUGGAAUACGAAUCAGUAGAAUUUGAACCCAAAAUCAGACUUCGAAUUUCCUUACACGUUGUUGUUGUACUCGUCUCCUUCGUCCGUCCCUCUUUGGAUCUAUUUUUGUGUUUCUUUGUUGUGUUUUAGCCAAGUGAGAUCGAAACCAGUGGUUAUUAGUUCGCUUUUUGUCUCUUCACUUCAUUUUCUUCUCUUUUUCGCAGAUUGUUGCUAAUUUCCUUUGGGUCUUUAGUUGUUAGGUUCCAGGGAUGGGUCGUUUGUGGUGAAGAUGAGGCGUAGAGAAGAAGAUGACUGACGAGGGGGUGGGGUUUUUUGCACUGUUACGGCAGAUUGGAUUGUUAAGGUCUAGGUUAGUUGAAGAUAGGGAUCUGGGUCGGGUCUAGAUUGGGGCGGAU
This 2185-nucleotide long non-coding RNA is filed under the name Nicotiana tabacum (common tobacco). RNAcentral's name for it is "long non-coding RNA (NTAB_LNC011754)". Lineage: Eukaryota; Viridiplantae; Streptophyta; Magnoliopsida; Solanales; Solanaceae. The record is from RNAcentral.